RNAcentral lists this unclassified non-coding RNA (187 nucleotides) under rhizosphere metagenome. RNAcentral's name for it is "partial ribosomal RNA internal transcribed spacer region". The record is from RNAcentral.
GAGAAACUCGCCCGCGAGGGUGACUCUCCAACCCUAUGUUAACUAUACCUUUGUUGCUUUGGCGGGCCUGCCUCGGCCACCGGCUCACGCUGGUGAGUGCCCGCCAGAGGACCCUAAACUCUGUUUAUACAUGUCGUCUGAGUACUAUAUAAUAGUUAAAACUUUCAACAACGGAUCUCUUGGUUCU